This 557-nucleotide long non-coding RNA is filed under the name Capra hircus (goat). RNAcentral's name for it is "lncRNA (ENSCHIG00010026375.1)". The record is from RNAcentral. Lineage: Eukaryota; Metazoa; Chordata; Mammalia; Artiodactyla; Bovidae.
GCUGCAAUUAGACUUCCGUGUUCUGUGAUCAACGUCCUUUGCUAAUUGCAUAAUUUCUUUUGCAUUUAAUCGUCAGAUGGCAUCCUUUUUUUUUUCCUGUCUCCAUGGUUUGCUGCUGGUUGUGAGCUGCGUGUAGAAUUUCUGGCUAAGGCACCUGCAAUCACAGAACCAAAGAUUUUCUGGGAGGAGCUGCCUCCUUUGUUUACAGUUUGGGAUGGACCAAGAAAGAAGCAAACACCCUAGCUGUCCUUCAUCACAGACGGUUUGGAAAGCACUGGUGUAGAAGCUAUAGGAUGAGAAAAAUCUGGGCUUUAUUGCAGCUCAGUCACUUACUAACUGGCUGAUGUUAAUUCAAGUGUAUUAUCUCCCUGUGCCUUGGUGCCUUCACGUAUAAAAUGGGCUUAAUAGUGCACAUCCAUCAAAGCUUUGCAACAUCAAUGAAGAAGCAAGUAUAAAGCACGCAGUACAGGGAGUAGUACCAAAAUGUUCACUGCUAUUACUCUAGUCGGAGAAGGCAAUGGCACCCCGCUCCAGUACACUUGCCUGGAAAAUCCCAU